Long non-coding RNA from Manacus vitellinus (golden-collared manakin), 290 nucleotides. RefSeq lists it as uncharacterized. The record is from RefSeq and is a predicted model, not a curated record. The transcript is spliced from 3 exons. Lineage: Eukaryota; Metazoa; Chordata; Aves; Passeriformes; Pipridae.
UAUGACAGGCCUUGCUCACAUGUCUACUACAUUUAAUGGCAAAGAGGAGUAAAGUAGAUUUGCUUCUCAUCCUGGUUUAUGUUUAGAAAAGCUGCCUACUCUCAUCAGUAGGACCAACUCCUUCCUCAAACCAAACAUAUGCUUUUCAGAAUCAAGUAUCACACUGUCAUAGUUCAAAAGUAAGCACAAGAUGCAGUCAGAAAGAAGCUGAAGUACCACCACCACAAGAGGUUUUCUAUUGAGUAUCAACAGGUUUGGAAAAGAUACAUCAGAAAAACCUAAGAUGAGCA